UGCAUAAGUCAAUCGCUGCCAGAAGGUAGAGGAAAGUCCGCGCUAGCACUAUCUGAGAUGAUAGUAAUGUUCAUGUUGAAUCUAAUAAAUUCAAGCCCAGACGACUAGUGCCACAGAGACGAGCUUAUUAAAUUAAGGUGAAACGCGGUAAACUCCAUGAGCUAGAAACCCAAAUUUUUGGUAGGGGAGCUCAACCUAGGAAUUCAACAAUGGUUGAGAAGCAAUAUUUGCUUAGAUAAAUGGUUGACUAAUACAGAACGCGGCUUAUUAAU
Molecule: RNase P RNA, 272 nt
Filed under: Mesomycoplasma bovoculi
Lineage: Bacteria; Bacillati; Mycoplasmatota; Mycoplasmoidales; Metamycoplasmataceae
Also listed under: 1 other name
Description: RNase P RNA component class B
Rfam family: Bacterial RNase P class B
About the family: Ribonuclease P (RNase P) is a ubiquitous endoribonuclease, found in archaea, bacteria and eukarya as well as chloroplasts and mitochondria. Its best characterised activity is the generation of mature 5'-ends of tRNAs by cleaving the 5'-leader elements of precursor-tRNAs.
Source: RNAcentral